Molecule: ribosomal RNA, 527 nt
Filed under: uncultured bacterium
Lineage: Bacteria
Description: bacterial SSU rRNA
Rfam family: Bacterial small subunit ribosomal RNA
Source: RNAcentral
GUACAUCCAGCGAACUUUCCAGAGAUGGAUUGGUGCCUUCGGGAACGCUGAGACAGGUGCUGCAUGGCUGUCGUCAGCUCGUGUUGUGAAAUGCUGGGUUAAGUCCCGNAACGAGCGCAACCCUUAUCCUUUGUUGCCAGCGAUUCGGUCGGGAACUCAAAGGAGACUGCCGGUGAUAAACCGGAGGAAGGUGGGGAUGACGUCAAGUCAUCAUGGCCCUUACGAGUAGGGCUACACACGUGCUACAAUGGCGCAUACAAAGAGAAGCGACCUCGCGAGAGCAAGCGGACCUCAUAAAGUGCGUCGUAGUCCGGAUCGGAGUCUGCAACUCGACUCCGUGAAGUCGGAAUCGCUAGUAAUCGUGGAUCAGAAUGCCACGGUGAAUACGUUCCCGGGCCUUGUACACACCGCCCGUCACACCAUGGGAGUGGGUUGCAAAAGAAGUAGGUAGCUUAACCUUCGGGAGGGCGCUUACCACUUUGUGAUUCAUGACUGGGGUGAAGUCGUAACAAGGUAAGCGUAGCGAG